This 995-nucleotide ribosomal RNA is filed under the name uncultured organism. RNAcentral's name for it is "bacterial SSU rRNA". It matches the Rfam family "Bacterial small subunit ribosomal RNA", at positions 355 to 1375 of the family's 1533-position model. The record is from RNAcentral.
UGGGGAAUAUUGCACAAUGGGGGAAACCCUGAUGCAGCGACGCCGCGUGGAGGAAGAAGGUCUUCGGAUUGUAAACUCCUGUUGUUGGGGAAGAUAAUGACGGUACCCAACAAGGAAGUGACGGCUAACUACGUGCCAGCAGCCGCGGUAAAACGUAGGUCACAAGCGUUGUCCGGAAUUACUGGGUGUAAAGGGAGCGCAGGCGGGAAGACAAGUUGGAAGUGAAAUCUAUGGGCUCAACCCAUAAACUGCUUUCAAAACUGUUUUUCUUGAGUAGUGCAGAGGUAGGCGGAAUUCCCGGUGUAGCGGUGGAAUGCGUAGAUAUCGGGAGGAACACCAGUGGCGAAGGCGGCCUACUGGGCACCAACUGACGCUGAGGCUCGAAAGUGUGGGUAGCAAACAGGAUUAGAUACCCUGGUAGUCCACACCGUAAACGAUGAUUACUAGGUGUUGGAGGAUUGACCCCUUCAGUGCCGCAGUUAACACAAUAAGUAAUCCACCUGGGGAGUACGACCGCAAGGUUGAAACUCAAAGGAAUUGACGGGGGCCCGCACAAGCAGUGGAGUAUGUGGUUUAAUUCGACGCAACGCGAAGAACCUUACCAAGUCUUGACAUCCCUUGACAGGCAUAGAAAUAUGUUUUCUCUUCGGAGCAAGGAGACAGGUGGUGCAUGGUUGUCGUCAGCUCGUGUCGUGAGAUGUUGGGUUAAGUCCCGCAACGAGCGCAACCCUUAUGGUCAGUUACUACGCAAGAGGACUCUGGCCAGACUGCCGUUGACAAAACGGAGGAAGGUGGGGAUGACGUCAAAUCAUCAUGCCCUUUAUGACUUGGGCUACACACGUACUACAAUGGCGUUAAACAAAGAGAAGCAAGACCGCGAGGUGGAGCAAAACUCAGAAACAACGUCUCAGUUCAGAUUGCAGGCUGCAACUCGCCUGCAUGAAGUCGGAAUUGCUAGUAAUCGCGGAUCAGCAUGCCGCGGUGAAUACGUUCCC